CCCUUAGAUGUUCUGGGCCGCACGCGCGCUACACUGAUUCAUGCAACAAGUUUUGUCCUUGGCUGAUAGGCCUGGGUAAUCUUUGAACGUGAAUCGUGAUGGGGAUAGAUGAUUGCAAUUAUUCAUCUUCAACGAGGAAUUCCUAGUAAACGCAAGUCAUCAGCUUGCAUUGAUUACGUCCCUGCCCUUUGUACACACCGCCCGUCGCACCUACCGAUUGAAUGGUCCGGUGAAAUCUUCGGAUCUGAGAGAUGUCUGAUUAAUUUCGGACGCCUUUUGGAAAAGUUGUUUAAACCUUACCAUUUAGAGGAAGGUGAAGUCGCAACA
RNAcentral lists this ribosomal RNA (327 nucleotides) under uncultured eukaryote. Its description in RNAcentral is "partial 18S ribosomal RNA". It matches the Rfam family "Eukaryotic small subunit ribosomal RNA", at positions 1470 to 1796 of the family's 1831-position model. The record is from RNAcentral.